This 1249-nucleotide long non-coding RNA is filed under the name Canis lupus dingo (dingo). Its description in RNAcentral is "lncRNA (ENSCAFG00020023793.1)". The record is from RNAcentral. Lineage: Eukaryota; Metazoa; Chordata; Mammalia; Carnivora; Canidae.
UCCCCCUUCAGAUCUAGAGGCUGCAAAUUCCCCAGACGCUCUAGGGCUUAUCAUUGUUGUCAGGAGAGGCAGGGCUUCUGACAAAAUGGGAAGUCUUCAAGGAAGUGGUGGAAAUUGAACAAGCUUAAUCAAGUUCAUGACUGAGACAAUGUUGUGUGGGAGGUCAUCCUGGCAGAGGGGCCUUUGUGAGCAGAGUCCCAGACAGGAAGCAGCGUGGCACUCUGAGGAAAUUCCAGGAGGCCCAUAUCCCACAGACAAAUAAUUUUAGGAGGGAAGAAGGGAGGUGGGAGGAACAGGGGGCAGGAGUCUGCUCAGGGCAGUCCAGGGUGCAGUGCCUAUAAUGUAGCAAGGACAUAUUGCAGAAUCUUCCAGACAGCGUGUGACCCGAUGUGCCUCUCUGGGAGAUUGCCUCUGUGGCAGCACGGGGAUGGAUCAAAAGGGAGGAUGCUGGAGGCAGGGAGGCCAGAGAGGAGUGUAUCUCCCUGAAUGGCCUGAAGUAUGCAGGUGAUGAAGUGGGGACCGUGUUAUUGGUGCUGUUUGUUUGCUGGGCAGCCACUAGACAUGCCAAGGAGCUGGAAGCAAGACGUCCUGGCGAGUGUGUCCUAGCUACGUGUCCCACCACGUGAGCUCAGCAACUCCGCACCCAACUUUCUGGAGUCGCUCCAUUGUCUUGGGGGUGACUUGUGGUUUAUAAACCACACUGCUGUUCCUUCAUAGGGGGAUACCCACACCACAGGGCAGGGACUUUGGAGUUGGGGUUGUUUCCUCUUGUUUGUUCAUAAAACACUAACAUCUGUUGCACCGAAGACAAAGUAGCGGACAAGUGCAGAAGCAAGAGUAUCAGAAAUGGCCUCUGGUCUUACCUCUGUCACUGUGUGUCUCUGGGCAGACUGACCAACCCCUCUGGGAUUUAGUUUCCUUUUAAAAUGAGGAGAUUAAAGAUUAAACUUUACUAAUAACUCAGAAAAGUUUCCCCCUAAUCAGUGGACUUCUUCCUUAAAGUACAAGCAUACAUGUAAAACUUUUAUGUAUAUGGCAAACCAAAACAAGGCUGCUGGAAUUGUAGCUGGGGUUCACCUUGUUUGGCUCCUUUACCCCUGAGAUGGCCCAUGAGGUACUCAAGGGUUUAGGAGCAUUGAGAAUCUGUGAACUAGUGCACGAUUAUAUAGUAGUGUAGUGUUCACCUCUGGUGCCACGUUGUCUCAUGUUCGCCAUAACCCUGAGUGGCAGGUGGCUGGGCCAGGGUUGU